RNAcentral lists this ribosomal RNA (826 nucleotides) under uncultured bacterium. Its description in RNAcentral is "bacterial SSU rRNA". It matches the Rfam family "Bacterial small subunit ribosomal RNA", at positions 8 to 850 of the family's 1533-position model. The record is from RNAcentral.
AGAGUUUGAUCCUGGCUCAGGACGAACGCUGGCGGCGUGCUUAACACAUGCAAGUCGAGCGGUAAGGCCUUUCGGGGUACACGAGCGGCGAACGGGUGAGUAACACGUGGGUGAUCUGCCCUGCACUUCGGGAUAAGCCUGGGAAACUGGGUCUAAUACCGGAUAUGACCUCCUAUCGCAUGGUGGGUGGUGGAAAGAUUUAUCGGUGCAGGAUGGGCCCGCGGCCUAUCAGCUUGUUGGUGGGGUAAUGGCCUACCAAGGCGACGACGGGUAGCCGACCUGAGAGGGUGACCGGCCACACUGGGACUGAGACACGGCCCAGACUCCUACGGGAGGCAGCAGUGGGGAAUAUUGCACAAUGGGCGAAAGCCUGAUGCAGCGACGCCGCGUGAGGGAUGACGGCCUUCGGGUUGUAAACCUCUUUCAGCAGGGACGAAGCGCAAGUGACGGUACCUGCAGAAGAAGCACCGGCUAACUACGUGCCAGCAGCCGCGGUAAUACGUAGGGUGCAAGCGUUGUCCGGAAUUACUGGGCGUAAAGAGUUCGUAGGCGGUUUGUCGCGUCGUUUGUGAAAACCAGCAGCUCAACUGCUGGCUUGCAGGCGAUACGGGCAGACUUGAGUACUGCAGGGGAGACUGGAAUUCCUGGUGUAGCGGUGAAAUGCGCAGAUAUCAGGAGGAACACCGGUGGCGAAGGCGGGUCUCUGGGCAGUAACUGACGCUGAGGAACGAAAGCGUGGGUAGCGAACAGGAUUAGAUACCCUGGUAGUCCACGCCGUAAACGGUGGGCGCUAGGUGUGGGUUCCUUCCACGGAAUCCGUGCCGUA